RNAcentral lists this ribosomal RNA (492 nucleotides) under uncultured bacterium. RNAcentral's name for it is "partial 16S ribosomal RNA". It matches the Rfam family "Bacterial small subunit ribosomal RNA", at positions 29 to 507 of the family's 1533-position model. The record is from RNAcentral.
AGUGAACGCUGGCGGUAGGCCUAACACAUGCAAGUCGAACGGCAGCACAGUAAGAGCUUGCUCUUACGGGUGGCGAGUGGCGGACGGGUGAGGAAUACAUCGGAAUCUACUUUUUCGUGGGGGAUAACGUAGGGAAACUUACUCUAAUACCGCAUACGACCUACGGGUGAAAGCAGGGGAUCUUCGGACCUUGCGCGAUUGAAUGAGCCGAUGUCGGAUUAGCUAGUUGGCGGGGUAAAGGCCCACCAAGGCGACGAUCCGUAGCUGGUCUGAGAGGAUGAUCAGCCACACUGGAACUGAGACACGGUCCAGACUCCUACGGGAGGCAGCAGUGGGGAAUAUUGGACAAUGGGCGCAAGCCUGAUCCAGCCAUACCGCGUGGGUGAAGAAGGCCUUCGGGCUGUAAAGCCCUUUUGUUGGGAAAGAAAAGCAGCAGGUUAAUACCCCGCUGUUCUGACGGUACCCAAAGAAUAAGCACCGGCUAACUUCGUG